RNAcentral lists this ribosomal RNA (254 nucleotides) under uncultured bacterium. Its description in RNAcentral is "partial 16S ribosomal RNA". It matches the Rfam family "Bacterial small subunit ribosomal RNA", at positions 524 to 777 of the family's 1533-position model. The record is from RNAcentral.
UACGUAGGUGACCAGCGUUGUCCGGAUUUACUGGGCGUAAAGAGCGCGCAGGCGGUCGUUCAAGUCGAGUGUGAAAGCCCCCGGCUCAACUGGGGAGGGUCAUUCGAUACUGAUCGACUUGAAGGCAGGAGAGGGAAGCGGAAUUCCCGGUGUAGUGGUGAAAUGCGUAGAUAUCGGGAGGAACACCAGUGGCGAAGGCGGCUUCCUGGCCUGUUCUUGACGCUGAGGCGCGAAAGCUAGGGGAGCAAAACGGG